RNAcentral lists this ribosomal RNA (253 nucleotides) under uncultured bacterium. RNAcentral describes it as "partial 16S ribosomal RNA". It matches the Rfam family "Bacterial small subunit ribosomal RNA", at positions 524 to 776 of the family's 1533-position model. The record is from RNAcentral.
UACGGAGGGUGCAAGCGUUAUCCGGAUUCACUGGGUUUAAAGGGUGCGUAGGAGGGCAGGUAAGUCAGUGGUGAAAUCCCCGAGCUUAACUUGGGAACUGCCGUUGAUACUAUCUGUCUUGAAUGCUGUGGAGGUGAGCGGAAUAUGUCAUGUAGCGGUGAAAUGCUUAGAUAUGACAUAGAACACCAAUUGCGAAGGCAGCUCGCUGCACAGUUAUUGACUCUGAGGCACGAAAGCGUGGGGAUCAAACAGG